This 253-nucleotide ribosomal RNA is filed under the name uncultured bacterium. RNAcentral's name for it is "partial 16S ribosomal RNA". It matches the Rfam family "Bacterial small subunit ribosomal RNA", at positions 524 to 776 of the family's 1533-position model. The record is from RNAcentral.
UACAGAGGGUGCGAGCGUUAAUCGGAAUUACUGGGCGUAAAGCGCACGUAGAUGGCUUCGUAAGUCGGGUGUGAAAUCCCCGGGCUCAACCUGGGAACUGCAUUCGAAACUGCAUUGCUCGAGUGUGGAAGAGGGAAGCGGAAUUCCAGGUGUAGCGGUGAAAUGCGUAGAUAUCUGGAGGAACAUCAGUGGCGAAGGCGGCUUCCUGGUCCAACACUGACAUUCAGGUGCGAAAGCGUGGGGAGCAAACAGG